This 2004-nucleotide ribosomal RNA is filed under the name Triticum aestivum (bread wheat). Its description in RNAcentral is "partial small subunit ribosomal RNA". Lineage: Eukaryota; Viridiplantae; Streptophyta; Magnoliopsida; Poales; Poaceae. The record is from RNAcentral.
AUGAUACUCCUACCCGGCCCGCUCGUGCGGCAAUGCCUCGUCCUCCUCCACUCCAAGAACGCGAUCCCCCUCGCUCCCAACACCACCGCCCAGCUCCACGCUCUCCUCCUAACGUCCGGCCACCUCCACUACAGCAGCAUCCAUCCCCUCUUCAUGCUGCACUGCGCUAGCGGCCGCCCCUCCGACGCCCACAACCUGCUCGCGCAAAUGCCCCACCCACCUCCGGUCUCCUUAACGAACUCGCUCCUCCGCUCCUAUACCGGCCUUGGCCACCACAGGGAGGCCGUCGCUCUUUACUCGCGGAUGCGCGGCUUCGACCACCUCACCUUCCCCUUGGCCGCCAAGGCCUGCGCCGGCCUCCGCCUCGGCCGCCACGGGCGUGCUGUGCACUGUCGCUCGCUCACCGCCGGCUUUGGCGGAGACGCGUACGUGCAGAAUGCGUUGAUAUCCAUGUACAUGAGCUGCGGCGAUGUUGCCGAGGCGGAGGUGGUGUUUGGUGCGAUGCAGAACCGUUCGGUCGUGUCCUGGAAUGCGGUGAUUGCUGGGUGCGUCAAGAACGGCUGUGCAGAAAGGGCGUUGGAGGUGUUUGGCGAGAUGGUUGGUGAUGGUGCCGGGAUUGACCGUGCCACAAUUGUGUCUGUACUGCCAGCUUGUGCGCGAGCCAAGAAUUUGAGCAUUGGAAGAGCUGUGCACCGAUUGGUUGAGGAAAGAGGCUUGGCGGACUAUGCAGCGGUGAAGAACGCGCUGAUUGAUAUGUAUGGGAAGUGUGGGAGAUUGGAGGAUGCACGCAGGGUCUUCGAUGGACAUAAAUAUGACAAGAAUGUUGUUUCUUGGACAGUGAUGAUUGGUGCGUACGUGCUGAAUGACCGUGUGGACGAGGCCUUUAAUCUUGGUUUUGAUAUGCUCAUGACUGAUGGUGCACCAUGGCCGAAUGGAGUGACCAUGGCGUAUCUACUCUCAGCUUGUUCCAGCUUGCCAUCAUGGAGGCGUGCCAAGUGCAUACACGCAAUGUGCAUUAGACUUGGGCUUGAAUCAGACAUCGUUGUUGAGACUGCACUUAUUGACACUUACGCUAAGUGCCAUAAGGUGAAGAUGAUGGAGUUGACACUUAAAAAUGGCUCAUGGCGGACAGAAACAUGGAAUGCAGCUAUCUCUGGUUAUAGUCGCAGUGAACGGGAGAAGAAAGCUGUAGAAUUAUUUAAGCGGAUGAUUGGAGAAUCGGUGCGCCCAGACUCUGCAACACUUGCAAGCAUCCUCCCGGCGUAUGCAGAAUCUGCGGACCUGAGACAAGCAAAGAACAUCCACUGUUACUUGCUAACUCUUGGGUUUCUUCGGAGCACAGCGAUCAGAACUGGUUUAGUCGAUGUGUAUGCCAAGGCAGGUGACCUGGACAUGGCAUGGACACUCUUCGACGGGCUACCUGAAAAGGAUGUUGUUGCCUGGACCACCAUCCUUUCUGGGUACGGUAUGCACGGGCAUGCCCGAACUGCCAUCCUGCUAUAUGACCGGAUGGUGGAGUUGGGGGUGAAGCCGAACACCGUGACCUUCGCCUCCCUGCUGUACGCUUGCAGCCAUGCAGGCUGGAUAGACAAAGGCCUUCAGCUAUUUGAGGACAUGCGUGGCAUUCAUGGCGUGGUGCCAAAUAUCGAGCACUACCUGUCCCUGGUCGACAUGGUUGGGCGUGCUGGGAGGAUCAAGGAGGCCUACUGUCUCAUCAAAGAUAUGCCAUUCGAGCCGAGUACAUCGGUGUGGGGUGUUCUGCUGGGUGCUUGUGUUCUACACAAAAAUGUUGAGUUUGGGGAGAUUGCGGCGAAGCAUUUAUUUGAGCUUGAGCCGGACAACACCGGGAAUCAUGUGCUCCUUGGGAACAUAUAUGCUGCAGCUGACAGAUGGAACGAUGUUCAGGAUGUCUGGAAAAUGAUGGGAAGAAAGGGCCUCAUCAAAGAACCGGGAUCUAGUUUGGUCGAGGCAUGGUCUGAACAAUGCCGAACAGCGAUGUUAUAG